This 697-nucleotide ribosomal RNA is filed under the name Stenotrophomonas sp. DDT-1. RNAcentral describes it as "bacterial SSU rRNA". It matches the Rfam family "Bacterial small subunit ribosomal RNA", at positions 75 to 765 of the family's 1533-position model. The record is from RNAcentral. Lineage: Bacteria; Pseudomonadati; Pseudomonadota; Gammaproteobacteria; Lysobacterales; Lysobacteraceae.
AGAGCUUGCUCUCUGGGUGGCGAGUGGCGGACGGGUGAGGAAUACAUCGGAAUCUACUCUGUCGUGGGGGAUAACGUAGGGAAACUUACGCUAAUACCGCAUACGACCUACGGGUGAAAGCAGGGGAUCUUCGGACCUUGCGCGAUUGAAUGAGCCGAUGUCGGAUUAGCUAGUUGGCGGGGUAAAGGCCCACCAAGGCGACGAUCCGUAGCUGGUCUGAGAGGAUGAUCAGCCACACUGGAACUGAGACACGGUCCAGACUCCUACGGGAGGCAGCAGUGGGGAAUAUUGGACAAUGGGCGCAAGCCUGAUCCAGCCAUACCGCGUGGGUGAAGAAGGCCUUCGGGUUGUAAAGCCCUUUUGUUGGGAAAGAAAUCCAGCCGGCUAAUACCUGGUUGGGAUGACGGUACCCAAAGAAUAAGCACCGGCUAACUUCGUGCCAGCAGCCGCGGUAAUACGAAGGGUGCAAGCGUUACUCGGAAUUACUGGGCGUAAAGCGUGCGUAGGUGGUCGUUUAAGUCCGUUGUGAAAGCCCUGGGCUCAACCUGGGAACUGCAGUGGAUACUGGGCGACUAGAAUGUGGUAGAGGGUAGCGGAAUUCCUGGUGUAGCAGUGAAAUGCGUAGAGAUCAGGAGGAACAUCCAUGGCGAAGGCAGCUACCUGGACCAACAUUGACACUGAGGCACGAAAGCGUGGG